GAUGAAGAACGUAGCGAAAUGCGAUAAGUAGUGUGAAUUGCAGAAUUCAGUGAAUCAUCGAAUCUUUAAACGCACAUUGCGCCCCUUGGUAUUCCAUGGGGCAUGCCUGUUCGAGCGUCAUUUGUACCUUCAAGCUUUGCUUGGUGUUGGGUGUUUGUCUCGCCUUUGCGUGUAGACUCGCCUUAAAAUAAUUGGCAGCCGGCGUAUUGAUUUCGGAGCGCAGUACAUCUCGCGCUUUGCACUCAUAACGACAGCGUCCAAAAGUACAUUUUACACUCUUGACCUCGGAUCAGGUAGGGAUACCCGCUGAACUUAAGCAUAUCAAUAAGCGGAGGA
This 336-nucleotide unclassified non-coding RNA is filed under the name soil metagenome. RNAcentral describes it as "partial contains 5.8S ribosomal RNA, internal transcribed spacer 2, and large subunit ribosomal RNA". The stretch from base 1 to 120 matches the Rfam family "5.8S ribosomal RNA", at positions 35 to 154 of the family's 154-position model. The record is from RNAcentral.